This 1010-nucleotide long non-coding RNA is filed under the name Calidris pugnax (ruff). Its description in RNAcentral is "lncRNA (ENSCPUG00000003352.1)". Lineage: Eukaryota; Metazoa; Chordata; Aves; Charadriiformes; Scolopacidae. The record is from RNAcentral.
GGCAGAGGGAAGAGGGGGCCGGGGAUGUCCCCAUUGUCCCCCUUGUUUGUCCCCUUCCCUCCUGGGCGGGGGGGGGAGGAGGAGCCCCCUGUUUUCCUCCCUCACUCAUGGACCUCCCCCGGUGGCUUUUUGUCCCCCCCAGGGGUCUUUGUGUCCCCCUCCCGGUGGCUUUGUGUCGUCCCCCCCCUCCCGGGGGUCUUUGUGUGUCCCCCCCCAAGGGGAGGGAUCCUCUUGGUUUAGAAGCGUUUGGGUUUUUUCUGUGGUUUGAGGAAAAUGGGGGACUCCCCGGGCUCUGGAGAGCGGUGGCCGUUGGGUGUCCCCAUGAUUGUCCCUGGGUGUCCCCAUUGUCCCCGUGGCUGGGUGUCCCUCAUAAUUGUCCCCAUGGCCACGUGUCCCCAUGGACAUGUGUCCCCCGUGAUUGUCCCCAUGGCCAGGCUUCCCCACCAUCAUCCCCAGGUGUCCCCACGGUCCCCGUGGCUGGGUGUCCCCAUUGUCCCCGUGGCUGGGUGUCCCUCAUAAUUGUCCCCAUGGCCACGUGUCCCCAUGGACAUGUGUCCCCCGUGAUUGUCCCCAUGGCCAGGCUUCCCCACCAUCAUCCCCAGGUGUCCCCACGGUCCCCGUGGCUGGGUGUCCCCAUGACUGUCCCCAGGUGUCCCCAUUGUCCCCGAGGCCGGGUGUCCCCCAUAAUUGUCCCCAUGGCCAUGUGUCCCCAUGGCCAGGUGUCCCCUGUGAUUGUCCCCAUGGCCAGGCUUCCCCACCGUCAUCCCUGUGUGUCCCUGUGGCCAGGUGUCCCCCAUGAUUGUCCCCAUGGCCACGUGUCCCCUUGAUUGUCCCCAUGGCCGUGUGUCCCUACCAUCGUCCCCAUGGCCAUGUGUCCCCAUGAUAAAUCCACCUCGGGGACCCCUGAAAUCCCUCCCCAGAUACCCCCAAAUCCCCCCAAGGACCCCUGAAAUCCCCCCGGGACUCCCAAAUCCCCCCCCGAGACCCCCAGAUGCCCCUGGGGACGCCCC